UUCUUCAUUUCCCUUUCAAUUCAUCUUUAUACUUUCUCUUCAUCUUCUUCUCUUUCUUCAAUCUCAAAAGCCAUUUUGGUCCAACAACUGUAAUAGACCAUUUUUUAUUUAUUAUGCUUUCUCUUUAUUUUUCUUUCCUUCUCCAUUUCAUUCUUUUUUCUUCCGACGAUCUAAAAACCGAACAUCCCUCAUUUCAUACUCUUUUCUUCCGACGAUCUAAAAUCCGUCCUUGAUCUCUUUAAAUUCACCCAACAAUGAACACAAAAGUGAAGAAGACAACGAAGAAAUAGAACUAAGUUCUAUUUUAAUUUUUAAAAAAAAUUGAAGAAGCUAUCUAGGAUGAAGGUGCGAGGAAACAAUGAAGGUUUCAGUUUUUACGCGUCAAUAGAGGUUUCAGAUGUUGCCGUCAAUGGUGGUUAUUUCUAGCGGUGGUUUUGCUCUGAUCCAAAGGCUAUGGAUGUUCUAUGGUGGUGGUGUAGUGAUUUGGGUUAAUAAUGAUAAAGAGGAAUUGAGAGAAUAGUAGAUGAAUUUAUUUUUCAUGGGUCGUGCUCUAUUUUUCGUUGUGCCUCUCCUUCUUCUCAAAG
RNAcentral lists this long non-coding RNA (584 nucleotides) under Capsicum annuum. RNAcentral describes it as "long non-coding RNA (CANN_LNC014815)". Lineage: Eukaryota; Viridiplantae; Streptophyta; Magnoliopsida; Solanales; Solanaceae. The record is from RNAcentral.